Molecule: ribosomal RNA, 326 nt
Filed under: uncultured eukaryote
Lineage: Eukaryota
Description: partial 18S ribosomal RNA
Rfam family: Eukaryotic small subunit ribosomal RNA
Source: RNAcentral
CCCUUAGAUGUUCUGGGCUGCACGCGCGCUACACUGAUGCACUCAACGAGUUUACGACCUUGCCCGAUAGGGUUGGGUAAUCUUUUUAAAAUGCAUCGUGAUGGGGAUAGAUUAUUGCAAUUAUUAAUCUUCAACGAGGAAUUCCUAGUAAGCGCGAGUCAUCAGCUCGUGCUGAAUACGUCCCUGCCCUUUGUACACACCGCCCGUCGCUCCUACCGAUUGAGUGCUCAGGUGAAUAAUUCGGACUGCAGCAAUGUUUGGAUCCCGAACGUUGCAGCGGAAAGUUUAGUGAACCUUAUCACUUAGAGGAAGGAGAAGUCGUAACA